Papaver somniferum (opium poppy) is the source of this 1240-nucleotide RNA transcript. It is a transcript of the gene named protein-L-isoaspartate O-methyltransferase 1-like, with no coding region annotated. The transcript is spliced from 5 exons. The record is from RefSeq and is a predicted model, not a curated record. Lineage: Eukaryota; Viridiplantae; Streptophyta; Magnoliopsida; Ranunculales; Papaveraceae.
CGCUAUCGUACGCCUCUGUCAAUAUCCCCACUCAUUCACUCAAACAGUCAAACCAACAAAAAAUACACAUCCUUUCUUUCUUUCUUUCUCCUCCUACAAACCCUAACUCUCCAGAACGGGAAACUUUCAGUGCUUGAUUAUAAGCGAGUUGUUUUAAAAAAAGGGAAUAUGGGUAAGAAUGAAGCAAUGGUGGUUAGAUUGCAGAAGAAUGGGAUAAUUAGUUCAAAGAAGGUAGCUGAAGUUAUGGAGAGCAUCGAUAGGGGAUUAUUUGUUCCUGAUGGGAUUCAAUCUUAUGUUGACACCCCUUUGGCUAUAGGGUAUAAUGCAACUAUAUCUGCUCCUCAUAUGCAUGCUGUGUGUCUCCAACUUUUAUUGGAGAAUUUGCAACCAGGAAUGCAUGCUUUAGAUGUUGGAUCAGGAACGGGAUAUCUGACUGCAUGUUUUGCCGUGAUGGUUGGAUCCCAAGGGCAUGCUAUCGGCAUCGAGCACAUACCUGAGUUGGCAAGUACUUCCCUUGAGAAUAUAAAAAACAGUGCAGCUGCACCGUUCCUGGAGGAAGGCUCCCUCUCUAUACAUGUCAGUGAUGGAAGGCUUGGUUGGCCAGAAUUUGCACUCUAUGAUGCUAUUCAUGUAGGUGCAGCAGCUCCAGAAAUUCCGCAAGCACUUAUACAGCAGUUAAAGCCAGGAGGUAGAUUGGUGAUUCCAGUUGGUGUCGAUGUACAGAAUUUACAGGUUGUGGACAAGAAAAUGGAUGGAUCCGUCACCGUCAGAAAUGAACUUGCGGUGCGUUACAUUCCACUGACCAGUCUUAAAGCUCAGUUGAAUGGAUAUUGAAAGUAUUAAGUGUUUCUGUUCCAAGAGAUACUUAAGUUAAUGCAGGAUCAGAAAGACAAGGUGCGUGACAAUGGGCUUGCUCUCCAGUCUCCAUUCUUGGUUAUGCUGUAUAUACAUUUAGUUUUGUACAGGUAGCCUAAAAAGGUAGAUAUUGAGUAACAUCAUCAAAAUGGGUUGUUUGGACAAUGGUGCUUUUAUACCGAGUAGUUCUUGCCUCAAACCUGUGGCACUUUUGCCGUGAGAGUUGAUUGUUCGACUUACUCAUUGUUUCAGUAUUGCUCCCUUCACAGAAGCACCUCCCAUGUUCUUUAGGUAGUUACUCCAAGGAAGUAAAGUUUCUUAAGGCACCCGCAACUGUUAAUUAAAGGCACCCGCAACUGUUAAUUAAAGGCACCUGUUGGCACUA